Molecule: ribosomal RNA, 446 nt
Filed under: uncultured bacterium
Lineage: Bacteria
Description: partial 16S ribosomal RNA
Rfam family: Bacterial small subunit ribosomal RNA
Source: RNAcentral
GCCAGACUCCUACGGGAGGCAGCAGUGGGGAAUAUUGCACAAUGGGGGAAACCCUGAUGCAGCGACGCCGCGUGAGUGAAGAAGUGUUUCGGUAUGUAAAGCUCUAUCAGCAGGAAAGAAAAUGACGGUACCUGACUAAGAAGCCCCGGCUAACUACGUGCCAGCAGCCGCGGUAAUACGUAGGGGGCAAGCGUUAUCCGGAUUUACUGGGUGUAAAGGGAGCGUAGACGGUGAAGCAAGUCUGAAGUGAAAGGCGGGGGCUCAACCCCCGGACUGCUUUGGAAACUGUUUGACUGGAGUGCAGGAGAGGUAAGUGGAAUUCCUAGUGUAGCGGUGAAAUGCGUAGAUAUUAGGAGGAACACCAGUGGCGAAGGCGGUCUGCUGGACAGCAACUGACGCUGAGGCGCGAAAGCGUGGGGAGCAAACAGGAUUAGAUACCCCCGUAA